CCUACGGGAGACAGCAGUAGGGAAUCUUUCACAAUGGGCGAAAGCCUGAUGGAGCAACGCCGCGUGCAGGAUGAAGGCCUUCUGGUUGUAAACUGCUUUUAUAAGCGAGAAAUAUGAUGGUAACUUAUGAAUAAGGAUCGUCUAACUACGUGCCAGCAGCCGCGGUCAUACGUAGGAUCCGAGCAUUAUCCGGAGUGACUGGGUGUAAAGAGUUGCGUAGGUGGCAUAGUAAGUAGCUAGUGAAAUCUGGUGGCUCAACCAUUCAGACUAUUAGCUAAACUGCUAAGCUCGAGACCGUUAGGGGUAACUGGAAUUUCUAGUGUAGGAGUGAAAUCCGUAGAUAUUAGAAGGAACACCGAUAGCGUAGGCAGGUUACUGGGACGGUUCUGACACGAAGGCACGAAAGCGUAGGGAGCAAACGGGAUUAGAUACCCCAGUAGUC
This 442-nucleotide ribosomal RNA is filed under the name uncultured bacterium. RNAcentral's name for it is "partial 16S ribosomal RNA". It matches the Rfam family "Bacterial small subunit ribosomal RNA", at positions 338 to 795 of the family's 1533-position model. The record is from RNAcentral.